AACGAGCGCUGGCGGCAUGCCUAACAUAUGCAAGUCGAACGAGACCUUCGGGUCUAGUGGCGCACGGGUGCGUAACGCGUGGGAACCUGCCCUUAGGUUCGGAAUAACUCCCCGAAAGGGGUGCUAAUACCGGAUAAUGUCUUCGGACCAAAGAUUUAUCGCCUUUGGAUGGGCCCGCGUUGGAUUAGCUAGUUGGUAGGGUAAAAGCCUACCAAGGCGACGAUCCAUAGCUGGUCUGAGAGGAUGAUCAGCCACACUGGGACUGAGACACGGCCCAGACUCCUACGGGAGGCAGCAGUGGGGAAUAUUGGACAAUGGGCGAAAGCCUGAUCCAGCAGUGCCGCGUGAGUGAUGAAGGCCUUAGGGUUGUAAAGCUCUUUUACCCGGGAUGAUAAUGACAGUACCGGGAGAAUAAGCUCCGGCUAACUCCGUG
RNAcentral lists this ribosomal RNA (433 nucleotides) under uncultured bacterium. RNAcentral's name for it is "partial 16S ribosomal RNA". It matches the Rfam family "Bacterial small subunit ribosomal RNA", at positions 29 to 507 of the family's 1533-position model. The record is from RNAcentral.